UCCUUCAGUAUCGAACUUUAUGUUCGUUCUUCGGGUUAUGUUGCAUCGACUUUGCUGUGGAAUGAACAGGAGACAACAAUAGAUGAUUGCAGCAGCCCGGAAGUGCCUGUAGGCAAGCUAAGCUAACAAGAGUUAGAUGACGUUUCAGAUGGUCCUCUUCCGCCCAUCAGAGCGACCCCUCACCGCUCUGGACAGCUCUGCCCCGCGUCUCUUGCGCAUGGCGCCGCUGCGUCACAGCCUGCGCGUGGCGCCGCGUCACGUCGCCCAAGCCAGUGAAGACACAGCGUCCACAUUUUCCGCGCCCGGAUGCAGUGGAGAGGACGCCGACUGCCUGGAUCCCGCGGUGUUCAACAAAAGCAUCUCGCAACGCUGGAGACGCCUGCGACGCCGCUGUUCAUCCUUUACGACUCCGUCGCCGGGGUCUUGCGCGUCGCCGCCGUCGCAGCCACAGUGUGAGCGCCUGCUGUUGCCCGCUGAUCACGCCGUGGUGAUCAGCAUGCCCCCCGCGACCCCUCUUCGGAGCAGCGCCAGUAGCCAUCACCUGUUCCCCGAAGUUCUGCGCACCAAGCUGAAUCGCCUGCACGCCGGGCUGCGCAAGCGCAGAGCAGUGUCCGUGCACGAAAUGUGCACGUCUGCCCCGAGUCAGCCCACGUUCUACGUCCCUUCGCCACUUUCGAAAACUUCGGAAGAAGAGUUCUCCGAGAGGUCCGGUCCGGUAUCUCUUCCUCCGUUUGCUUUUCGGGACGCAGACACCCGGCAGCGGAAGUUGUCCAGCGCCUGCUCUUCCGGGAGGGGGACGGCCACGCCCCCGACAGAGGACUUGGACGGUAGGAGUACCGACAGUGCGUCGUCGUGUGCUUCUUCGUCGCGAUGUAGAGGGAAGUCCUGUUCGCCGUCCCCGCCACACGAUCAGGGUUACCACAGCAUCGAGGGCGACCAGCGGCGGAGCAGAAGGUGGUCAGUGGCGGAUCAGCCAUGCGGCUUUGUGAUCGGUGGCAGCGUAUCUUGCGGCUUUGGUACAGUGCCCGAGGCGGGCCCGACCUCACUGCCGUACGUCUCGGAGGAGAGCAGUGACGUGCGCAGCAAGCAGCGCCAGUUGAUACAACAGCUGCAGGAGGCACUGGGCGAGAAGCAGCAGCUGAACAGUGUACGGCGUAACCACCGCAGCAGUGGCGAUCUGGCGCAGCGACCGAAGGUGUCAGAACGGACAGAGCUGGACGAUUCUUCUGGUGAGGAGGAACAUGAAGAUAACGAUGAGGAGGAGGAGGAGGAAGAAGAGAGCAAGUUUUGCACGCUGCCGCGGCACGGCGCUGGGCGUGGCGCAGCCUUCACAAUCCUGUCAGUGGCCUUCACGAAAGGACCAGGUCAUAAAGGCCUGGGAUUCAGUAUUGUGGGGGGGCGUGACUCCCCCAAAGGGAACAUGGGCAUCUAUGUGAAGACUGUGUUUCCACAUGGCCAGGCGGCUGACAGCGGCAGGCUUAAAGAGGGUGACGAGGUACUAGCAGUGAAUGGCAAGGCAUUGCAUGGACUCAGUCACCAGGAGGCCAUUGCAGUGUUCAAAGAGAUCCGGACAGGUCAGGUGGUGUUGCAUAUUGGUCGCAGAGUGCCGAAACGUCGGCGUGAAGCACUGCCCUGCCCACACAUCUAGCAGAGACCCCGUUUCCUGUAGCACAUGCAGUCUUCAGAGCGUGCUUCAUUGUGUGAGCCACAGGAAUGCCACCUUGUGGGCACUAACUCCAUGCAGCCAAGUCCUUCUUGAGAAGCCACCAGUCGUUCAGCUACUCAAGAAUUUCCCAACAUUUUGUGGAACCAGAAUGUUCAUUGCAAUGUUUCAAGAGCCCGCUGCUGGCCCUUGCUCUGAGCCAGAUGAAUCCACUCCAUAUGACACACUGAUAAGGGAAACAACCAUAAUGAGGUGGAGAAUCAGUACCUUGCAUCUUCGGCUUAAUGGUAAGAGGUGAACUUGUCUGGCAGUAAGAACACGUUCCUACAACAGGAGAAAGUUAUCAUUGCUCAGAAAGUAGUACCAUUUGCAGAAUUGUGUAAUGAUUUCCAUAUGCAGUUUGUAACCAGUAUUUGCAAUGAUGAUUAUAUGAUGAGUGUUGCAGACUCAGAGAGAAGGGACACAAACAGAUCUACUGCGACUGACAGUCUUACAGUCUGUCAAGGAGUCUGCUGUGCACAGAUAAACUUUGGAAGCUGCUGCUCAAAUGAUUUUCCACUCAAGGCAUCACUGAAAUAAUUCCUUCUCACUCGCACCUUCUUCCCUCUUGAUGUAUUUAUGACAGCUGUUCCGAUGAAACCUGGCCAUAUUUUGCCCCCUGAAGUAAGUGCUCAAGGUUGUAGAGUCCAGUCAGACGAAGAUGUUGAGGCUGUAAUAGUGCCCCAGUUCCAGCAGCAGCCGCCGGGGAAGUUCUUUGCGGAGUGGAACCAGGGAGUCCUGCCCCACCACCCAUGGAAACUAUUUUAAUGGUCUCUUCUGUUCCCUAGAAGCAUCCCGACAUGCGGUUCCUUUGAACGACGUCUAGUACCGCUACAUGCCUCUGUUUCAUUGUAAAUGUUAUAUGUACUCUUCUGUAUGUGGACAUUUUUGUACAUAUGGAAAGUAGCCAAUUUGUGUGUUCGUAGGUAGAGAGGAAACUGUGUAUGUGUCUGGUUAUGGCUGCAUUAAGUUGGUAAUAAACGUACAUACCGUGAUUGUAGUGUGAUGUUUCUGAAUAUCCGGUGAAUUUUAAUACUGCAAACCAGCAAACAUUUGUGAAUAUAUAAUUGAGUCUUGUC
RNA transcript from Cryptotermes secundus, 2781 nucleotides. It is a transcript of the gene named partitioning defective 3 homolog, with no coding region annotated. Lineage: Eukaryota; Metazoa; Arthropoda; Insecta; Blattodea; Kalotermitidae. The transcript has 6 exons. The record is from RefSeq and is a predicted model, not a curated record.